RNAcentral lists this long non-coding RNA (339 nucleotides) under Manihot esculenta (cassava). RNAcentral describes it as "long non-coding RNA (MESC_LNC004059)". The record is from RNAcentral. Lineage: Eukaryota; Viridiplantae; Streptophyta; Magnoliopsida; Malpighiales; Euphorbiaceae.
UCAUAUCAUACCAUAUCAUAUCAUGGGAGGGCUAAAGGAUCAUUCAACAUUCAUCCACAUCAUCAACAUAUUAUGCAAUGCAACAUAUUCGUGAAUUCUAAUGCAAACAACCUAAUAUAUCUCAUGGCAUUCAUGAUGCGUGAAUCAUGCUAAGAAUUAAUUUAUUUACUUUAAAACAUAAAGAGUUUAUUCCACUCACCUCUGGCUGAAGCUCUACUGACUCUGAAGCGACCGACUCACUGCUGGGGUCCUCGGUUCCUCGGGUCCGAACCUACACAGGUGGACUCAAAUGAGGAACCAAACAUCUAUGAUCAAGACUCUAAAAUACUCCCCAAAAAC